RNA transcript from Cololabis saira (Pacific saury), 5337 nucleotides. It is a transcript of the gene named ATPase phospholipid transporting 8A2, with no coding region annotated. Lineage: Eukaryota; Metazoa; Chordata; Actinopteri; Beloniformes; Belonidae. The record is from RefSeq and is a predicted model, not a curated record. The transcript is spliced from 38 exons.
GACGAUCCCUCUGCUUUCCCAGCGAGAAAUGAUGAUCAGCGCGCAGCGGCAGGUAGGAGGCCCGCUGCCCGGGCCCGCAGCAGCUCUGCCCCGCUGUGAGCCGUGAGCAUGUCCCCGCUCUGGCUCCCUGGUCCCCGCAACACUGAUCACUGUCCACCACCAACAUGUACUUCAACCGGAGAGGCAAGAAGAUACACAGCGAGGGAGAGCAGUUAGUGUUGACCACGCUUAGACAGGAGGCUUCUGAACUGCAGGACCCAAGCCGGGGUACCAGUGCUACCAUGCGUUCCCGCCUCGCAGACAGGUUUGACAAAAGACCCUCCUGCUCGUCCGCCGGCUACCGCAAGGCAGACGAUGAGAUGUCCGGCACCACGUCCCAGGCGGAGCCCGUAGACGCCACGGCCCGGACGGUGCUGCUCAACCGGCCCCAGAACACCAAGUUCUGCGACAACCAUGUCAGUACCACCAAGUAUGGGAUUCUCACCUUUCUGCCCCGGUUCCUGUACGAGCAGAUCAGACGGGCAGCUAAUGCGUUCUUCCUGUUCAUCGCACUCAUGCAGCAAAUCCCUGAUGUAUCACCGACCGGUCGUUACACCACACUGGUUCCACUCAUAUUUAUCCUUACUGUGGCUGGGAUUAAAGAGAUCAUAGAGGACUACAAACGGCACAAAGCAGACAACACAGUAAACAAGAAGAAGACAACAGUGCUGCGGAACGGAGCUUGGCAGACGAUCAUCUGGAAACAGGUGGCAGUAGGUGACAUAGUGAAGGUGACCAAUGGCCAGCACCUUCCAGCUGACAUGGUUAUAGUGUCGUCCAGUGAACCACAAGCCAUGUGCUACACCGAGACGUCAAAUUUGGAUGGAGAAACCAACCUGAAGAUCAGACAGGGUCUUUCCCUCACAGCUACAGUUCAAACCUUGGAGGAUUUAAUGGCUCUGUCUGGUCGUUUAGAGUGUGAAGGCCCCAACAGACACUUGUACGACUUCACUGGCACUCUGCGGCUGGAAAACCUAAAUCCAGUCCCACUAGGUCCAGACCAGGUGCUGCUUCGUGGAGCUCAGCUCAGGAACACACAGUGGGUCGUGGGAAUCGUUGUCUACACUGGCCAUGACUCUAAACUAAUGCAGAACUCCACCAAGGCACCGCUGAAGCGCUCUAAUGUGGAGCGGGUGACCAACAUGCAGAUCCUGGUCCUGUUUUGCAUCCUGCUGGUCAUGGCACUGGUCAGCUCUGUGGGCGCAGCCAUCUGGAACAAGGAACACACAGACGAAGCCUGUUGGUACCUGUCCCGAGCCGAUGACAUCUCUACCAAUUUUGCAUAUAACCUGCUGACGUUCAUCAUCCUCUACAACAACCUGAUCCCCAUCAGCCUGCUGGUUACUCUGGAGGUGGUAAAGUUCACACAGGCCCUUUUCAUCAACUGGGAUGUGGAGAUGUACUAUGCAGAGACAGACACACCUGCCAUGGCUCGAACAUCCAAUCUUAAUGAAGAACUUGGCCAGGUGAAAUAUCUCUUUUCUGACAAGACGGGAACUCUGACCUGUAACGUCAUGCACUUUAAGAAGUGCACCAUCGCGGGAAUCACAUAUGGCCACUUCCCUGAUCUUGAGUGUGAUCGUUCAAUGGAGGACUUCAGCAGUCUGCGGUCCAACAGCAAUAACUCUACAGAGUUUGAAGACCCAAGUCUCAUUAAAAACAUUGAGAAGAACCAUCCUACAUCCCCCCAGAUCUGUGAGUUCCUGACCAUGAUGGCAGUGUGCCACACGGUGGUCCCAGAGAGGGAGGAUAACCACAUCGUCUACCAAGCAUCCUCACCGGAUGAGGGAGCGCUUGUCAAAGGUGCCAAAGGACUGGGAUUUGUUUUCACUGCUAGGACCCCCCAUUCAGUCAUCAUUGAUGCUAGAGGAAAAGAGAUGAGCUAUGAGCUACUCAAUGUGCUGGAGUUUUCCAGUAACCGCAAACGCAUGUCUGUGGUGGUCAGGAUGUCCAGUGGGAAGCUGCGGCUGUACUGCAAAGGAGCUGAUAAUGUUAUUUUCGAACGCUUGAAUGAAGCAUCUCAGUAUAAGGAAUUAACUAUUGCUCAUCUGGAACAGUUUGCUACUGAAGGUUUGAGGACACUGUGUUUUGCGUAUGUGGACCUGGAAGAAGGCGAAUAUCAGGAAUGGUUGAAGGAAUACAAUCAUGCCAGCACUGUACUCAAAGACCGUAGUCAGAAACUGGAAGAGUGUUAUGAACAUCUGGAGAAGAACUUGCUGCUGUUGGGUGCCACAGCUAUAGAGGACCGUCUCCAGGCCGGCGUUCCAGAAACCAUCGCCACGCUGAUGAGGGCUGACAUCAAGAUUUGGGUCCUCACCGGAGACAAACAAGAGACUGCCAUCAAUAUAGGUUACUCCUGUCGUCUGGUGACACAUGGCAUGUCCCUCAUCAUUGUGAACGAAGACUCUCUCGAUGCUACUCGUGCCACACUCACAGGCCACUGCUCAUCCCUGGGUGACUCUCUGAGGAAAGAAAAUGAGCUUGCGCUCAUCAUCGAUGGCCAAACACUGAAAUAUGCCCUGUCCUUUGAGCUGCGGCAGGCCUUCCUCGACUUGGCAUUGUCCUGCAAAGCUGUGAUCUGCUGCCGAGUGUCUCCACUACAAAAGUCAGAGAUCGUGGAUAUGGUAAAGAAACAUGUGAAAGCCAUCACCCUGGCGAUAGGUGACGGCGCAAAUGACGUGGGGAUGAUUCAGACGGCUCAUGUUGGAGUGGGAAUCAGCGGCAACGAGGGAAUGCAGGCAACCAAUUCUUCUGACUACUCCAUUGCACAGUUCUCCUACCUUGAGAAGCUUCUGCUGGUCCACGGCGCAUGGAGCUACAACCGUGUCACAAAGUGCAUCCUCUACUGUUUCUAUAAGAAUGUGGUUCUAUACAUAAUAGAGCUAUGGUUUGCCUUUGUGAACGGGUUCUCCGGCCAGAUCCUUUUUGAACGUUGGUGUAUAGGCCUUUACAAUGUGAUUUUUACCGCACUGCCUCCCUUCACCCUGGGGAUUUUUGACCGGCCAUGCAGCCAGCAGAACAUGCUCCGCUUCCCACAGCUCUAUCGAAUAACCCAAAACGCUGAGGGAUUCAACACCAAGGUGUUUUGGGGACAUUGUAUCAAUGCACUGAUUCAUUCAAUUAUUCUCUUCUGGUUACCACUCAAAAUGUUAGACCACACCUCUCCCUUCAGUAACGGCCAGGGAAGUGACUACCUGUUUACAGGAAACAUGGUGUACACAUAUGUGGUGGUUACUGUUUGUUUGAAAGCCGGGAUGGAGACCACCGCUUGGACCAGGUUUUCACACCUGGCAGUGUGGGGAAGCAUGGCGCUAUGGAUGGUGUUCUUUGUCGUCUACUCUGCCAUCUGGCCCUCCAUCCCCAUCGCCCCCGACAUGCUGGGCCAGGCUGGCAGGGUGAUGCAGUGCUGGCACUUCUGGCUUGGCUUGGUCCUGGUGCCUACUGCGUGUUUGCUCAAAGAUUUUGCUUGGACAGCCGCACGUCGCAGUGUGAGGAAGUCUUUACUGGAGGAGGUGCAGGAGUUGGAGGCACGCGCCGUUGACCCAGGGGCGGCAGUACUUAGAGACGCCAGCGGUUGCAGGUGGACCAAUUUGAACUGCUGUACAGACCUGUCUAAACGAACGGGCCCAUCUGCUGACAAGAGUCUUUAAGAAAACACCUUCAAGUGCAGGACGAUCAAACUCUGUGCAGCAGACUGUGUCGCAUGGCUAUGCCUUCUCUCAGGAGGAGCACGGUGUGGUGUCCCAGUCCCAAGUAGUUCGCUCAUAUGACACGACCCGCGAAAGACCCAGCCUCUAGCCCCGCCCCUGCCAAGGCUUUGGCUCACCGUAGCAAUGGUUGUCAUGGUGACAGCAGAAACAGACUGAAGUGCACCCUGAUGCUGGGUGACCGACCACUGCUGUGGCCUUACUGGAACAAUGACCAGAUCCCACGGCGGGGUGAGGAAGGUGGUGGGUCACGGUCGGGCGUGAAGGCCGUCGCCGGUGCAUGGAGGACUGAAUUAGGAGAAGGGACCAGGCAAAAUACGCAACAAACGUCGGGACUCACAAAAACUGCAUAGGCAUGAGCAAUCAUAUCCACAUCCAGACAUGCCAAGUCAAGCUCAGAGACUGCUACUCGUAUAUGUAGAGCCCUCAGACCGGGUUGCUUAACGCCACUGUGUGUUAGCGCGUGUGUGUGCGUGUUCCUGUGUGUCUGUAUCUGCCUAUGCAUGUACGUCUGCACGCAUUGGUGCUCUGGUGUUUGUGUGCAUGUGUGUGUCUGUUCAUGUGUGUUUUCCUCCAAGGUUACCUCUCACCUCCCUCUCCCGAGGAGGUUUCAGCUCGUCUGUCAUCACUUACCGACGCAGAAGAUGUCAAAAUAAACAUGCGCACACACACUUGCACACAUCCGGGCGCAAGUUGAAUUCCUUUAAGAAAAAAUAGAAAUGUUGGGAGGGAAGCGUUGGUAGAGGAUUUGCCGGAGCCCUGCAACCACAGCUACAGGCCCCCUUUGUUCCAUCGCAGCGCCGAGCCUCACUGCCAAACACAGAUGCCGCUGAGGCAGAACGCUCACCCCAAACCGGACCACCACCCUGCUGCAACCCCUCCUACCCCGCUGAGACCUCCUAUCGCUUAUCUCUCCCUUAUCUCUGGAUCUCAUAGCAGCUCUGCAGGCCACGUCUCCUUUCUCCAUGCAGUUUUAAUUAUUUUUCUCUCUUUUUCUUUCCUUUUCUGUUCUUUUCUGUUUACGUGAUUCCUGAAGCUGCCAUCUAGCAUCGCCAGCUGAUGUAAAAGCAGCACGCCCGGCAUUAACACUUCCACCUCCCAGUUCUGUUGGAAUUCAUCUUUAUUGGACUAUUUCCUUUUUUUUUUUUUUUUUAUUACUACCAUGAUUAAAGUGGACAUUAAUGUAUAUGUGUGUUUUAAUAUUAUUUUCUUUUAUUCAGUGUCUGUUUUUGUACUUAUUUGUGGAGAUGUGUUUUAGAGGGAAUAUUUUACUUGAACAACUACUUACAGGCAUCCAAACUGAGAGGAAUUGAUGGAGACGCCCGCAUAGAUCAUGUGUUUUUCUGUCUCUAGCAUUUGUCUGAAUGAAGGGUGUGUGUGUGUGUGUGUGUGUGUGUGUGUGUGUGUGUGUGUGUGUGUGUGUGUGUGUGUGUGUGUGUGUGUGUGUGUGUGUGUGUGUGUGUGUGUGUGUGUGUGUGUGUGUGUGUGUGUGUGUGUGUGUGGAAGACACUCGUUCAGGAAUGCAAGUCUGAAAGAUUGAGGGGGGGGGUUGUCCAUCCAAGUCCUAAUCAUUAAAUCUAAUCAAUCCAUG